RNAcentral lists this ribosomal RNA (2923 nucleotides) under Klebsiella pneumoniae. RNAcentral describes it as "bacterial LSU rRNA". It matches the Rfam family "Bacterial large subunit ribosomal RNA". Lineage: Bacteria; Pseudomonadati; Pseudomonadota; Gammaproteobacteria; Enterobacterales; Enterobacteriaceae. The record is from RNAcentral.
GGGUUGUGAGGUUAAGCGACUAAGCGUACACGGUGGAUGCCCUGGCAGUCAGAGGCGAUGAAGGACGUGCUAAUCUGCGAAAAGCGUCGGUAAGGUGAUAUGAACCGUUACAGCCGGCGAUGUCCGAAUGGGGAAACCCAGUGCAAUUCGUUGCACUAUCGUUAACUGAAUACAUAGGUUAACGAGGCGAACCGGGGGAACUGAAACAUCUAAGUACCCCGAGGAAAAGAAAUCAACCGAGAUUCCCCCAGUAGCGGCGAGCGAACGGGGAGCAGCCCAGAGUCUGAAUCAGCUUGUGUGUUAGUGGAACGGUCUGGAAAGUCCGACGGUACAGGGUGAUAGUCCCGUACACCAAAAUGCACAGGCUGUGAACUCGAAGAGUAGGGCGGGACACGUGGUAUCCUGUCUGAAUAUGGGGGGACCAUCCUCCAAGGCUAAAUACUCCUGACUGACCGAUAGUGAACCAGUACCGUGAGGGAAAGGCGAAAAGAACCCCGGCGAGGGGAGUGAAAAAGAACCUGAAACCGUGUACGUACAAGCAGUGGGAGCACCUUCGGGUGUGACUGCGUACCUUUUGUAUAAUGGGUCAGCGACUUAUAUUCUGUAGCAAGGUUAACCGUAUAGGGGAGCCGCAGGGAAACCGAGUCUUAACUGGGCGUUAAGUUGCAGGGUAUAGACCCGAAACCCGGUGAUCUAGCCAUGGGCAGGUUGAAGGUUGGGUAACACUAACUGGAGGACCGAACCGACUAAUGUUGAAAAAUUAGCGGAUGACUUGUGGCUGGGGGUGAAAGGCCAAUCAAACCGGGAGAUAGCUGGUUCUCCCCGAAAGCUAUUUAGGUAGCGCCUCGUGAAUUCAUCUUCGGGGGUAGAGCACUGUUUCGGCUAGGGGGUCAUCCCGACUUACCAACCCGAUGCAAACUACGAAUACCGAAGAAUGUUAUCACGGGAGACACACGGCGGGUGCUAACGUCCGUCGUGAAGAGGGAAACAACCCAGACCGCCAGCUAAGGUCCCAAAGUCAUGGUUAAGUGGGAAACGAUGUGGGAAGGCACAGACAGCCAGGAUGUUGGCUUAGAAGCAGCCAUCAUUUAAAGAAAGCGUAAUAGCUCACUGGUCGAGUCGGCCUGCGCGGAAGAUGUAACGGGGCUAAACCAUGCACCGAAGCUGCGGCAGCGACACUAUGUGUUGUUGGGUAGGGGAGCGUUCUGUAAGCCUGCGAAGGUGACCUGUGAGGGUUGCUGGAGGUAUCAGAAGUGCGAAUGCUGACAUAAGUAACGAUAAAGCGGGUGAAAAGCCCGCUCGCCGGAAGACCAAGGGUUCCUGUCCAACGUUAAUCGGGGCAGGGUGAGUCGACCCCUAAGGCGAGGCCGAAAGGCGUAGUCGAUGGGAAACAGGUUAAUAUUCCUGUACUUGGUGUUACUGCGAAGGGGGGACGGAGAAGGCUAUGUUAGCCGGGCGACGGUUGUCCCGGUUUAAGCAUGUAGGCUGAUUAUCCAGGCAAAUCCGGAUAAUCAAGGCUGAGGUGUGAUGACGAGGCACUACGGUGCUGAAGUAACAAAUGCCCUGCUUCCAGGAAAAGCCUCUAAGCAUCAGGUAACAUCAAAUCGUACCCCAAACCGACACAGGUGGUCAGGUAGAGAAUACCAAGGCGCUUGAGAGAACUCGGGUGAAGGAACUAGGCAAAAUGGUGCCGUAACUUCGGGAGAAGGCACGCUGGUGUGUAGGUGAAGUCCCUGCGGAUGGAGCUGAGACCAGUCGAAGAUACCAGCUGGCUGCAACUGUUUAUUAAAAACACAGCACUGUGCAAACACGAAAGUGGACGUAUACGGUGUGACGCCUGCCCGGUGCCGGAAGGUUAAUUGAUGGGGUUAUCCGUAAGGAGAAGCUCUUGAUCGAAGCCCCGGUAAACGGCGGCCGUAACUAUAACGGUCCUAAGGUAGCGAAAUUCCUUGUCGGGUAAGUUCCGACCUGCACGAAUGGCGUAAUGAUGGCCAGGCUGUCUCCACCCGAGACUCAGUGAAAUUGAACUCGCUGUGAAGAUGCAGUGUACCCGCGGCAAGACGGAAAGACCCCGUGAACCUUUACUAUAGCUUGACACUGAACAUUGAGCCUUGAUGUGUAGGAUAGGUGGGAGGCUUUGAAGCGUGGACGCCAGUCUGCGUGGAGCCAACCUUGAAAUACCACCCUUUAAUGUUUGAUGUUCUAACGUUGGCCCCUUACCGGGGUUGCGGACAGUGUCUGGUGGGUAGUUUGACUGGGGCGGUCUCCUCCCAAAGCGUAACGGAGGAGCACGAAGGUUAGCUAAUCCUGGUCGGACAUCAGGAGGUUAGUGCAAUGGCAUAAGCUAGCUUGACUGCGAGCGUGACGGCGCGAGCAGGUGCGAAAGCAGGUCAUAGUGAUCCGGUGGUUCUGAAUGGAAGGGCCAUCGCUCAACGGAUAAAAGGUACUCCGGGGAUAACAGGCUGAUACCGCCCAAGAGUUCAUAUCGACGGCGGUGUUUGGCACCUCGAUGUCGGCUCAUCACAUCCUGGGGCUGAAGUAGGUCCCAAGGGUAUGGCUGUUCGCCAUUUAAAGUGGUACGCGAGCUGGGUUUAGAACGUCGUGAGACAGUUCGGUCCCUAUCUGCCGUGGGCGCUGGAGAAUUGAGGGGGGCUGCUCCUAGUACGAGAGGACCGGAGUGGACGCAUCACUGGUGUUCGGGUUGUCAUGCCAAUGGCACUGCCCGGUAGCUAAAUGCGGAAGAGAUAAGUGCUGAAAGCAUCUAAGCACGAAACUUGCCCCGAGAUGAGUUCUCCCUGAGACUUUAAGUCUCCUGAAGGAACGUUAAAGACGAUGACGUUGAUAGGCCGGGUGUGUAAGCGCAGCGAUGCGUUGAGCUAACCGGUACUAAUGAACCGUGAGGCUUAACCUUACAACGCCGAAG